Molecule: long non-coding RNA, 3575 nt
Organism: Syngnathoides biaculeatus (alligator pipefish)
Lineage: Eukaryota; Metazoa; Chordata; Actinopteri; Syngnathiformes; Syngnathidae
Exons: 3
Source: RefSeq, a predicted model, not a curated record
AAACUAACACCUUGUUCAAAUCUGCUCUUUAACAGGAAAAAGUAGUGACCCAAACCAAACUUGGGAUACUUUAGUAAUGUUUGUCAUGGAGAGCUCCAGAGUGGAGCAUCGCACCAGUCUGCUCAUCAAUGUGCCAAUGCCAGCCGAGUUAGCAGAACACAGACCGAUACAGCGGACGCACGCGCUGCACACAUUCAAACGCUUUACCAAGCCGGGGGGAACUUGAAGGCCUUUUUAUAAGAGCUUCACUGAGCCUAGGGGAGUGGUCACUGCACAACUGAGCCAUUGGAAACAUCAUUAACCCUUAUCACACCUGCACCAGCUCACACAGUUCUUUGGAUGAUGAGAGCAAAUGGCCUGUCUAGAAAUGAGCCACAAAAAUGCUUUAUUGGGUUGCAAAGGGACAGUUUCGUUUGAAUAUAGAGCACUGUCCAAUGAGAGGUAUAUAAAGUAGUGCAAAAGUAAAAGUUAAAAUAUUUUAAUUUUCAUUUAUUUCCCAGCCUCUUCUCUGUGGACUUUGCAUGUUCUUCCCAUGCCUCCAUGAGUUUUCUCCAGUAACUCUGGUUUUCUCCCACAUCACCAAAAUGCGUGGUAGGUUGAAUGAAGACUAAAUUCCCUUCGGUGUGAAUGUGAGUGCAAAUGGUUGUUUGUCCAUAUAUGCCUUGUGAUUGGCCGGCGACCAGUUCAGGGUGUAUCCCGCAUCUUGCCCGAAGACAGCUGGGAUAGGCUCCAGUACGCACGGAACCCCAGUGAGGAUCAGCGGAACAGAAAAUGCAUGGAUGGAUUUAAAUCAUAGGUUACCGCUUCGGGUGGCAUGGUAGAUCAUUGUUUGGAGUGUCUACCUCACGUUUCUAAGGACCAGGGUUCAAAUCCCGGCCCCGCCUGUGUUGAUUUAAGAACCUAAAUUGCCCAUAGAGUUGAAUGUGAGUGUGAAAGGUUGUUUAUAUGUGCCCUGUGAUUGGCUGGCAAAGAGUUCAGGGUGUACCCUGCCUCCUGCACAAAGAUGGCUGGGAUAGGCGCCAGCACAGAUAUGACUCUUGUGAGGAGUGGGAGUGCUCUGAUGGCUCAGAAAAUGGAUCGAUGGAUGUAUGUUGGGCUUCCGUCUGUCAACAAUUCUGUUCAUUAUCUUCAUGGACAGAAUUUCUUGACACCACCGAAACAUUGUGGGGGUCCAAUUUGGUGACAUAAGUGUUGCAUCUCUACUAUUAGCACAUGAUAUGGUUCUCUUGGCUUCAUCAAACUGACCUUCAACUCUCACUGCAGUGGUUCACAGUCAAGUGUGAACCAGCUGAGAUAAAAAUUUGUACCUCCAUGUCUGAAGUUGGAAAAGGGAGGGAUGCCCACUCUGGAUUGAGAAGAAGAUCCUGCCACAAGUGGAAAAGAUUAACUAUCUAAGGGUCUUGUUCACAGCUUAGAAUGGAGUGGGAGAUCAACAAGCAGAUCAGUGCAGCAUCUUCAGUGAUGCCAACUUUGUAUUGGUCAAUUGUGGUGAAGGAGCUGAGUCGAAAGACAAUUUUCUCAAUUUACCAGUCACUCUGUGGGUAUUGAGUGAAAGAACCAAUCGCCAAUUCUCUGAAUCUUUUCUUGGAGUUUCUCGUCGGCAAUCUCAACGGAGCAUUGUGUCAAGGAUGGCGCAGAGGCUCGUGAUCUGGUACACAAGUUCAACUCCGCAGGAGGGGAAACAGACUUGCGCUUCAAUCGAUUCAUCUCACGAUUCUAAACACCCAAGCCAACAAUGUGGAUGAACUUCAUCUUCUGAUCAAGACCUGUAAACACUUCGGAUGUUUUGCCGGCAUGUGCUUCACGGAGACUUGGCUUUGUUGACGCAUUCCUGACUGAGCCGUUAUGCUACCCGCCUUUCAUCUUUAUCAGGUGGACCGCAUAACGGAGGUAGUGCAGAAACGAAAGGCGGUGGAAAUGCUUCUAUAUCAAUGAGAAAUGAUGCACAGACAUUACACAACCCAGCACACACUGCAACCCACUUUUGGAGAUGUUGUUCUUGAACUGUAAGCCGUUUUACUCACCGCGUAGAUUUGCCUCUUUCAUUCUCGCAGGUGUUUGGUUACCUCCCCAAGCUAGCAUGAAUGCAGCACUGCUAACGUACACUGAACAGGUAAACGAGAUUGAGAAAAAACAAUGAGAUUAUCAUCAUCUUGGAUUUUAACACAGCUAAACUUAACCACAAACUCUCUAAAUAUAAGCAGCACGUAUGAUGUUCGACGAGUGGGAAAAAACACUGUAGAACACAGCUAUACUACAAUUAAACAUAUAUUCCGCAAUUCCCCGCACUGGUCUAUAACGAUGAACCCUGAACAGGUAAGGGCACUCUGUAUAAGCUUAACAUAAGAUACGUUGUUGAUGCACUCUAACUGCUCAAAAUGCUAGAAGACUGCAUCUUUGCACAACAGUGACUCUUAUAAGGGAAUAGUUUCGUAUUAAUUGAAUGUCUAUUUUUUUUUCUUACUUCUUAGUUAGUUUGUUGUUCUUCUCAGUACUCAACACGAAUCUUGUACCAGGGCAGCACCAACUGUCAGAGACAAAUUCCUUGUGUGUUGUUACAUACUUGGCCAUUAAAUAUGAUUCUGAUUCUGAAUAACCAAAAGGUAAUUGAUACAAGCAACCAAAAUGAUUUUUCUCUGUAGGGUGUCUAGGCUAUCCCUUUGAGAUAAGGUGAGAAGCUUGGUCAUCUGAGAGAGCCUCGGAGUUGAUCCGCUGCUGCCCUCACGACCUGACCACAGAUAAGAGGAUUACAAUGGAUUCAUGGAUGUUAAUCAGAUGUUAUUACAUUUGGAUAAUUAAAAUAUAGAAGUUACUUUUCCAUACAUUUUUUGGCAUUGUACACUGACAAUGCUUCAAUGAUUUACAGUACAAUAGCAUUAUUUGCAUGCAACCCCAUUGCUGGUUUGAUUUUCACAAAUUCAUCUAUUGUCAUACUUUUCUAUGAAGACUAUCCUUAGGUAUUUGCCAAUUAACUGACCUUUAGGCAUGUUUGUGCUCUUUCUUUAACACCUUAGAUGCCUUAAAAUGGUGCCAACCUCCUGGUAAAAAUGGGGAGAAGCCCCACCCACCACCUUGGCAUGUGGAAAUGGAAAAGCUCAAACUACAAUUUUUACAGGCUGGAUGUGCAGAAACAGUCCGCAUGGCAGAAGAAGUGAUUAGGUAGAUGUUUGGCUGGUGGGUGUUGGACAGUGCUGCUGGAUCUGCAUAAAGCGCUGGAAAUUCUACAGACGGCGAGGGAGCAAUGACAGCAGCCAUUGAAUGUGCUGCUGACGAGCUUAGAUGCUGGUGGCGUGUAUGAAAGAAUUGUGCUGAACUCACUGAGACUUUUGUGCUGCUACCAAAACUGUUUGCCGGCAGCUGAACUUUCUACCGCUUUCUCCAUGAUGUUAAAAUUUUGGUUUUGUUUUAGCAAGCUUUGUUCCCAUCUGACUGUACAACUGCAGUACCCUCCAGAUCAACCUCGACCAAACAAUGGCCAGUACAUAUGACUCAAUCUCUAUUUUAAAAUGAAUAAGAAUAAUCAUAAAUUUUCUUUUUCCAGAUACAUUGCAUCACUGAUUUUUUUCUGACUAAUA